GACGAACGCUGGCGGCAGGCCUAACACAUGCAAGUCGAACGCUCGUAGCAAUACGAGAGUGGCAGACGGGUGAGUAACACGUGGGAACCUUCCCUUCGGUCGGGAAUAGCUCAGGGAAACUUGAGGUAAUACCGGAUACGCCCUUACGGGGAAAGAUUUAUCGCCGAAGGAUGGGCCCGCGUCGGAUUAGCUAGUUGGUGAGGUAACGGCUCACCAAGGCGACGAUCCGUAGCUGGUCUGAGAGGAUGAUCAGCCACACUGGGACUGAGACACGGCCCAGACUCCUACGGGAGGCAGCAGUGGGGAAUAUUGGACAAUGGGCGCAAGCCUGAUCCAGCCAUGCCGCGUGAGUGACGAAGGCCUUAGGGUUGUAAAGCUCUUUUGGCGGGGAAGAUAAUGACGGUACCGCAGAAUAAGCUCCGGCUAACUUCGUGCCAGCAGCAGCCGC
RNAcentral lists this ribosomal RNA (448 nucleotides) under uncultured bacterium. RNAcentral's name for it is "bacterial SSU rRNA". It matches the Rfam family "Bacterial small subunit ribosomal RNA", at positions 28 to 521 of the family's 1533-position model. The record is from RNAcentral.